AUGCCGCAUGUCAGCCUCAUGGGGAUCAAACAGAUGAGGAGAAGGAAGCAGCAAGGAAGAAGGCGUGUUGCUGUGUUAAUAUUGGGUGCAGCAAUUUCACAACUCUGGGAAGAGCAUCUGCUGGAGGGUGUCACCUGCGGCAUCACCUGCAUCGACCUCUCGCUGAUUACCAUCCCAAGGAUGCGCGACCGACUAGCGAAGCAGGGCUUCAGUGAUAAGUUCACUGAUUUGGUCGACUCACCGUUCCCUUCCUCUGUCCACGCAAUGCUGCUCGUUAUUGUUAGGUUGUUAAUUCAGCAGGCCCCUUAUUGCGCUACAUAG
RNAcentral lists this ribosomal RNA (321 nucleotides) under Triticum aestivum (bread wheat). Its description in RNAcentral is "partial small subunit ribosomal RNA". Lineage: Eukaryota; Viridiplantae; Streptophyta; Magnoliopsida; Poales; Poaceae. The record is from RNAcentral.